RNAcentral lists this ribosomal RNA (385 nucleotides) under uncultured Bifidobacterium sp. RNAcentral describes it as "bacterial SSU rRNA". It matches the Rfam family "Bacterial small subunit ribosomal RNA", at positions 368 to 763 of the family's 1533-position model. The record is from RNAcentral. Lineage: Bacteria; Bacillati; Actinomycetota; Actinomycetes; Bifidobacteriales; Bifidobacteriaceae.
ACAAUGGGCGCAAGCCUGAUGCAGCGACGCCGCGUGAGGGAUGGAGGCCUUCGGGUUGUAAACCUCUUUUGUUUGGGAGCAAGCCUUCGGGUGAGUGUACCUUUCGAAUAAGCGCCGGCUAACUACGUGCCAGCAGCCGCGGUAAUACGUAGGGCGCAAGCGUUAUCCGGAUUUAUUGGGCGUAAAGGGCUCGUAGGCGGCUCGUCGCGUCCGGUGUGAAAGUCCAUCGCUUAACGGUGGAUCUGCGCCGGGUACGGGCGGGCUGGAGUGCGGUAGGGGAGACUGGAAUUCCCGGUGUAACGGUGGAAUGUGUAGAUAUCGGGAAGAACACCGAUGGCGAAGGCAGGUCUCUGGGCCGUCACUGACGCUGAGGAGCGAAAGCGUG